AGCCCAUGGUGAGGACACUUUCUCAGUACAUCUUUAAAGCAUUCUCGUGCCUCAUAGAGUGAUUCAUUCUCUACCUGUAAAAACAUUGUAAUUUCGUUUUGCAAUU
RNAcentral lists this small nucleolar RNA (106 nucleotides) under Morus notabilis. RNAcentral's name for it is "Plant small nucleolar RNA R71". It matches the Rfam family "Plant small nucleolar RNA R71". From Rfam's summary of the family: R71 is a member of the C/D box family of snoRNAs containing the C (UGAUGA) and D (CUGA) box motifs. Multiple nearly identical copies of this snoRNA have been identified in Arabidopsis, and it is thought to function as a 2'-O-ribose methylation guide for 18S ribosomal RNA. Lineage: Eukaryota; Viridiplantae; Streptophyta; Magnoliopsida; Rosales; Moraceae. The record is from Rfam by way of RNAcentral.